AGCUCCUACUUCAUUCUACGGCCGAGACCGGAGGAUGUUCCCUGCUCAGGAGGAGGCCGACAGGACCGUGUUUGUUGGGAAUUUAGAGGCCCGAGUUCGGGAAGAGAUUCUGUACGAGCUGUUCCUUCAGGGAGUUCUCGCUCUUCUGAACCAGCUAACCAAAGUUUUGAGAGCUGUGUUAAGAUAAAUUCACACAACUACAGGAAUGAAGAAAUGGUGGUGGGCAGAUCUUCCUUUCCCAUGCAGUAUUUUCCAAUUAAUAAUACUUCUUUACCUCAAGAAUAUUUUCUCUUUCAGAAGAUGCAGUGGCAUGUGUAUAAUCCAGUGCUGCAACUUCCUUACUAUGAAAUGACAGCUCCACUUCCUAAUAGUGCAUCCGUGUCUUCCUCACUGAAUCAUGUUCCAGAUCUUGAGGCUGGACCCAGCUCAUAUAAAUGGACUCACCAACAACCAAGUGACUCUGACCUUUAUCAGAUGACAGCUCCACUUCCUAAUAGUGCAUCCGUGUCUUCCUCACUGAAUCAUGUUCCAGAUCUUGAGGCUGGACCCAGCUCAUAUAAAUGGACUCACCAACAACCAAGUGACUCUGACCUUUAUCAGAUGAAUAAACGAAAGAGACAAAAGCAAACAAGUGAUAGUGAUAGUAGCACAGACAACAACAGAGGCAACGAAUGUAGCCAAAAGUUCCGAAAGUCUAAGAAAAAGAAAAGAUACUAGUAUUACCUACACUGAUCUUAGUUCUCUUAUGAAAAAAAUAAGAUGUUAUUCCAUCAAAUAAACAAUGUCAUGGCUAUCUUGUCUUUUGAAAUAUAUAGUAAUAAGACUUAUCUCUGGUUUGCUGUUCAAUUUUUGCCUUGAACGACAAAAGCUUUCUAAAAAUAAUAUAAUGUACCACUUUUUGUAUUUGUCAUGAUAUUUUUGACCCAUUGGCAAUAAAUAGACUAUUGUCAUUUUAUUAGUACCAAUGAUGAAAUUUCACCAAACUAUUAAUCAAAAGUCACUUAUUGAACACAUUGAUAAAGCAUCAUGUUCCCUUUGAUUAUCCGCUGUAACCAACACUCAACUACAAAUAGGCUGGGAUUCAAUGUGGAGUGGUGGAUUUCCUGAAAGAAAGUAGUGCAGAUAUUUAAGGAUUGCAUAUUGUUCCUAAUGAGGAUGUAAUAAACAGGCAUUAGUACCCCUUUCUUUUAGUACCUAAAUAUGUUGUUUCUGAGCCAUAUUCUUCUUCAGGUUUAUUUUAUAAAGUGAGGACAUAUGAUAAUGAUACCAAAGGAAAGAUAAUUAUCAUGAAACCAACUUUUGGAUCAUUCCCUUUUUAUACAGUUAUGUAUUUAUAGGGAUACCUUCCUCUUCUCACAUAUUAAUUGUAUGUCAUUAAAAUCAGUUGGCUAUGUCAGUGUGUAUUAUUCACCUCUUUUGCUAGCAAGGUUUGAGAUGCUAUAUUAACAUUUAAAUCAUGAAAAUGAGCAAGUAAAUAGAAUAAUAUUUUAUUAAUAUAUGAUAUGUAAUACUUAUUGUCUAAAUCAAGUUUCCUAUUUUUGGUUUAUUUAUUUUAGAAGAAAAAAAUUAUUUGGGCA
Molecule: small RNA, 1577 nt
Filed under: Pan troglodytes (chimpanzee)
Lineage: Eukaryota; Metazoa; Chordata; Mammalia; Primates; Hominidae
Description: processed transcript
Source: RNAcentral